Long non-coding RNA from Gordionus sp. m RMFG-2023, 461 nucleotides. RefSeq lists it as uncharacterized. Lineage: Eukaryota; Metazoa; Nematomorpha; Gordioida; Chordodea; Parachordodidae. The record is from RefSeq and is a predicted model, not a curated record. The transcript is spliced from 4 exons.
CAUUUUUUAAUCUGAAAUUACUCAAUUCUGGACUUUUUUUGAAAAUAUCAAACCUAUUAAUAAAGAUAAAAUUAUUAUUUAAAUUACAAAAGUCCUCAUUUUUAUACCACCAGAUUUAACAAAGGUGUCAAUGAAAUAAAGGGGAGAUAAAGGAUGUAAAAUAUAAGAUUUGAAUUGCUGACCUCAUUGAUAGUGACAAUACAUUGAAAGGUAAUUAUUCCCAAAAGUCCUGCAUCAAUUAACAUGGAUCUAUAUCUUCUGUUGUCAUAGUUCAUAUUAUAAAUGUCCUAAGAGAAAAUAAACUUAAAAUACUUAUAAAAUUAGAAGAGGAAAGUAUACUAGAUGUUUAAAAAUAAAAAUUAUGAAUAUGGCAUAUGUCUUAUAUUGAGGGAAAAAUUGGAUAAAUGUACAGAAAAGCAAAGCAGAAAAAUGAUUUAACUAAUCAAAUAUAUGAUGUUCUA